AAGUUUGAUCGUGGCUCAGGACGAACGCUGGCGGCGCGCUUAACACAUGCAAGUCGAGCGAGAACUAGUCCUUCGGGACUAGGGACAGCGGCGAACGGGUGAGUAACACGUGAGUAAUCCACCCUCGGUACCGGAAUAGCCCGGGGAAACGUACGGAUUAAUGCCGGAUGGCCCAUUUGCUCUUCGGAGCUGAAUGGAAAAGAUAGCUUCGGCCUUCGACCGGGGACGAGCUCGCGGCGGAUUAGCUUGUUGGCGGGGUAACGGCCCACCAAGGCGACGAUCCGUAGCUGGUCUGAGAGGACGAUCAGCCACACUGGGACGUGAGACACGGCCCAGACUCCUACCGGGAGGCAGCAGUGGGGAAGUCUUGCGCAAUGGGCGAAAGCCUGACGCAGCGACGCCGCGUGAGGG
This 411-nucleotide ribosomal RNA is filed under the name uncultured bacterium. Its description in RNAcentral is "bacterial SSU rRNA". It matches the Rfam family "Bacterial small subunit ribosomal RNA", at positions 9 to 407 of the family's 1533-position model. The record is from RNAcentral.